This 263-nucleotide ribosomal RNA is filed under the name Staphylococcus aureus. RNAcentral describes it as "partial 23S ribosomal RNA". It matches the Rfam family "Bacterial large subunit ribosomal RNA", at positions 1533 to 1793 of the family's 2925-position model. The record is from RNAcentral. Lineage: Bacteria; Bacillati; Bacillota; Bacilli; Caryophanales; Staphylococcaceae.
UAGGCAAAUCCGGUACUCGUUAAGGCUGAGCUGUGAUGGGGAGAAGACAUUGUGUCUUCGAGUCGUUGAUUUCACACUGCCGAGAAAAGCCUCUAGAUAGAAAAUAGGUGCCCGUACCGCAAACCGACACAGGUAGUCAAGAUGAGAAUUCUAAGGUGAGCGAGCGAACUCUCGUUAAGGAACUCGGCAAAAUGACCCCGUAACUUCGGGAGAAGGGGUGCUCUUUAGGGUUAACGCCCAGAAGAGCCGCAGUGAAUAGGCCC